This 304-nucleotide long non-coding RNA is filed under the name Rattus norvegicus (Norway rat). Its description in RNAcentral is "long non-coding RNA NONRATT018868". The record is from RNAcentral. Lineage: Eukaryota; Metazoa; Chordata; Mammalia; Rodentia; Muridae.
GGGCACUUUGAGAUUUUACUUGGCUAAAGGAGGAUUGUUUUUGGGAUUUUUGUUGACCAUAGGAUUUUAGUUGGGCAUCUUCACUGAAUAACACAUUCGUUAAUCUCUCAAGAAUUAAAACACGUGUAGAGGAGUCACCUGACCUGUGUGGACUGUGCGGUUCUUAAGAUGCUGACUGCCGUGUGGUCCUCAACACCUUGCACGGAUGCCAUGACCCACUCACACAUUCCUUCCAGAGACUUUCUAAAGUUGGAGCAACCUCACGCAGGUGCCCUCCAAUAAACAGAGCCUUCCCGACACCACU